CCACCCAUCCAGUGUUUCUUUAUACAAACGAAUACACAAAAUUUAUCUAUGGUUAAUGAUGAAUCAUGGACGUGUGUGUCUUCCCAAACGUUUUUGUCUCGAGUAUAUAGCGGCGGCCUAAGAGCAUUUUACUGGGGAAUUCUCUCCCAGUUACUCUUAUUUUUGGGGCUAAAAAAAAAUUAAAAACCCCAACAUUCAGUCCAUUAAGCAGAGAAACGUUACUACAGGAAGGAAUUGAGGAACGGCAUAAGUAACGCUAUGUGGCAUGUUUUGGUUGGUUGCAGGUUUAAUUUAAAAAAAAAAAAUUUUGUCAUUUUCUUUUCCUUCUUUCGCUAUCUUCUCUCUUCUCUCUUCUCUCUUCUCUCUCUCGACGGAAUCCCUAAAACUCAUAGUGAUUCACCUCAGCAGAAUCCAAUUCAGCAGUUCCAGGUUAAAUUCAAGGAAAUAGAAACUGGUUUCAAGACUUGGCUAUCGAAACAAUCAAUACCAGUGGAAGCCGCCGUAGUCUCAACCAUGAGCGGUGUCCAAGGAGCUUUCAUUGGUGGUCUCAUGGGAACACUUUCUCUCAUGCUGGCGUUGACCUUCAAGCCAUAGCUUCCACGAAACAAGCUCAGGUUUAAUACACUCUCAUAUAUUUAUCCACAUCUUUCAAAAUAAGUUAAUGUUGUAAUUGAGGUAUGAGUGAAUUGAGAUCUGUAAUGAAACGGAUUAGAGACAAAGAAGAUAUUGAAUCUGCGUAAGUUUCAAUUCCUGUGAGCUGCUUCAUUCACUAAUAUUGUAAUCUCUUUGUAUUAGAUGUCUUGAUAAGUUUUUUUGUAAUUUGGGAUUAGUCUUAAGAGUUUAGUUAUCAUUAAGAAAAAAAUAUCGCAAAGCUUGGAUUGAGAUGCAGGGGAUCGGCUUUUAGCUGCUCUGUCCUUGGUUGCACAACUUGGGGCAGAGCUUGCCACGACUUUAGUGAUUGUUAUCUCAAAGGUGUGUACUAUAUACCGUUGUUUACACAGGCAGUUUUAUAUGAUGGUUGGUCUUGAUAUUGGCGAGCAUGACUUAGUAUUUUACGUGUUUCUCAUAGUGGAGAUAGAGGUAAUUGGUACAUAAGCUUAAACUUAGUAUGAUCACUCAUUGCUUUUAUGUAUGUUAAUGCAUUGACAUCAUAUAGGGGAUUAAUAUUAGAGAGAUGCUUACCGGUGCCAAAAUAAUGGAUGAGGCUACUAGAACAACUUCAUUCAAAAAUAACCCUGCAGCUCUCUUAGCUAUGUGUUGGUACUGGGCUUCAGAUGGUGUUGGCUCCAAGUAGAUAAGAUUUAACGAUCUUCCAUCGACUUUUCACAUCCAAACUAUCUCCUGGUAUAAGAAAUUUGCAGGUACAUGGCAUCCUCUUUGCUGAGAGUUGCAAGUGAGCAUAGUUCGGUUGUGGCAGUUAUCGGGAAAGGGCAUAUCAAAGGAAUCAAGAAGAAUUGGAAGCAAUCUAUAACGAUGAAUGAUCUAAUGGAGAUACCGAGCGACAAGUCAGUCUUUACGGUAAAGAGGAUAAUAUCAUCAGUGGCAAUGGUAGUUGCAGGGACAGCUAUAGUUUCGGGUAUACUUCUUGCAAGAAGAAGGUGAAGAAGAUUGUGCUUGGUGAAGAGUUUUUUCUUCAUUCUCCUCAGUGCCAUACGAAGGAAUGAUACAAGCUCAAAAGUAACUUUUACUUUUGUACCUUUGAUUGAUGAAAAUAAUAGAGUUUUCUUUCUUUUGGGUUUUUUGAAUUUCGAGUUUCUCAUAUCAAUUGAAGUUUGUAAAAUUUUAUUGUUUUCUAUUUUAUGUAAUAAUAACAAAUUAAAUAA
This is a non-coding RNA of Camelina sativa (false flax), 1823 nucleotides long. The record is from RefSeq and is a predicted model, not a curated record. NCBI's taxonomy places the organism in Eukaryota, Viridiplantae, Streptophyta, Magnoliopsida, Brassicales, Brassicaceae.